CUGCUCAUCAUGUUGCAUCAGCACGAAGGGCUGCGCCAGCCUCUCCUACACAGGGACCAACACACCAAAGUCAUCCUUCUCAUCAUACUCCGAGAUAGGCACGUUCUUUGAAAAGUGAUAAUAAAUAGCUGAGUCCUGGGCUGGCCA
RNAcentral lists this long non-coding RNA (147 nucleotides) under Sus scrofa (pig). Its description in RNAcentral is "lncRNA (ENSSSCG00060052410.1)". The record is from RNAcentral. Lineage: Eukaryota; Metazoa; Chordata; Mammalia; Artiodactyla; Suidae.